Molecule: ribosomal RNA, 409 nt
Filed under: Ducula rubricera (red-knobbed imperial-pigeon)
Lineage: Eukaryota; Metazoa; Chordata; Aves; Columbiformes; Columbidae
Description: partial 16S ribosomal RNA
Rfam family: Bacterial large subunit ribosomal RNA (bases 157-409)
Source: RNAcentral
AGCCCAACUCUAGCCCACACCCCCACAACUAAGCCCACCAAACAAACCCACUAAACCUUUUAACUAAAACAUUCUUCCAACCCAGUAUAGGCGAUAGAAAAGACCAUUAGGCGCAAUAGAGACUCGUACCGUAAGGGAAAGAUGAAAUAACAAUGAACAAGCCAAGCAAUAAACAGCAAAGAUAAACUCUUGUACCUCUUGCAUCAUGAUUUAGCAAGAACAACCAAGCAAAGCGGACUUAAGCUUGCCACUCCGAAACCCAAGCGAGCUACUUACAAGCAGCUACCUUUGAGCGAACCCGUCUCUGUUGCAAAAGAGUGGGAUGACUUGUUAGUAGAGGUGAGAAGCCAAUCGAGCUGGGUGAUAGCUGGUUACCUGUAAAAUGAAUCUAAGUUCUGCCUUGACCCCU